This is a long non-coding RNA of Cottoperca gobio, 1436 nucleotides long. The record is from Ensembl. NCBI's taxonomy places the organism in Eukaryota, Metazoa, Chordata, Actinopteri, Perciformes, Bovichtidae.
UCCUGCCCUGCAGUGGUGCCCUUGAGCAAGGCACCAGGUCAUUUUGUGGGUGAAGUAUUCCUUUAACAUAGCACCCAUUAACAAGUAUUUGUUAUCACUUAGGACUCACAGUCUGCUCCUGCUGACAUCCCGACUGAGAGCAGCCUGGGAGCUUCUAGACCUGCGUCUCGAGUUCAUCUCGGUGGCUUGAGGGAUCAGACACACGGUGAGUCCUGUGGACCGUCACGCUGCGGGUCUCCUUACUCUCCCAGAGGCUUGGAGUCACCACAUCACAAACUCUGGACAUGUGACCCAUACCUGUAUCCCAGUCAGAAGGAAACUUCCAUGGAAGAGGAGGAGGAGGAGGAAGAGCAAGACAAGGAAAGGACACACAAACAGCUGUCUAAUAUGGAAGUAUCCAUAACCUCUAGCAAUGCUGUUCUUCUGUCUGACCCUCGAGACAUCUCUGAGGGUUUGGUAAAUCCCGCCUUUUCUCAGGAUGAUAGCCAACCAAGUUCUCAGUCAAGACCUUCAAGCCAAUGGGGGAGACCCGUGAAAUCUCCCCGGUGGGCGUGUCUGUCCAGAGACCGUCCCUACGGCUUCUGCAGGUCUCUGUCCUCCAGCGUGGAGAAUAUGACUUUCUCAGGUGCACCUCUGAGUCCAAUGAGGGGAUCCUUUCCUUCUCUUCACGAACCGAUGAACGAAGACACGCUGUCUGAUGAGAGCAGUUUCAGGGAGGACACAUCGCUACGAUGCAGCAGGAGCAGAGAAUGGUCCAAGUCCUCUGAUUUCACUCAAGUAUUAGACUCCAGAGGCAAAAACCAGAACAGGAAGACCGUGAAGAUACAAGAGAGCGGUCCAGACACUGUAAGAUGUUCACGGCAAUAUUGCAUGGAUCAUAAAACCCUGCUGAUUGUUUAGUUUUUUUAUUCUGUGACUCUUUACUUCUUGGCGAACAUAUCUCACCACGCAGCCCCAUAUGUCUGAUGCCUGCUGGAGAAGAGGCCGAAGAUUAAGAGGAGAAUCGACAUGUUGGUCGGCUUCAACCAGCCUCAGUCAGCUCAGUAAGCAUCCACAGUCCUAUUUAAAUCAAGCACAUAUUAGUAAGGCCUCUCUGAAUGUAUCAUGUAAUCAACGCAGGGUUUAAAUAAAGAGACAAGGAGUUACGCAGAUUUAUAUCUUAAAAAUAUCAAUAUUGUUUCAGAUUUUGAACCUAUGGAUUUGUUGCAGAAGCAAGUCUUCUCCCAUCAGGUAAAUCUGUGGCAACAUACUGCAGUAAUUGUGGAAGCACUAUAAGAUAUAUUGAGUGUAUAAUAUGUCAGUGAGGUCGGUCUGAUUACCUUUGCAUCGGCCUUCAGGAUGUGUGGAGCUCCACUCAUUCAGCCUGGAACAGCUGGGCCAGAUCCAUGAGCCACAGGUCAUCGUACGUCUGCCUUUCUGUCGUCCUGCCAUCACAC